Molecule: ribosomal RNA, 387 nt
Filed under: uncultured bacterium
Lineage: Bacteria
Description: bacterial SSU rRNA
Rfam family: Archaeal small subunit ribosomal RNA
Source: RNAcentral
GCGCGAAAACUCCGCAAUACGCGAAAGCGUGACGGGGGGAUCCCAAGUGUCGUGCCUUAGGGCAUGACUUUUGCAGAGUGUAAAAAGCUCUUCGAAUAAGAGCUGGGUAAGACCGGUGCCAGCCGCCGCGGUAACACCGGCAGCUCAAGUGGUGGCCACUAUUAUUGGGCCUAAAGCGUCCGUAGCCGGAUUGAUAAGUCCUUGGGAAAAUCCGCUCGUUCAACGAACGGGAACCUGAGGAUACUGUCAAACUAGGGAACGAGAGAAGUCAGAAGUACUCCUGGGGUAGCGGUGAAAUGUUGUAAUCCUGGGGGGACUACCAGUGGCGAAGGCGUCUGACUAGAGCGGGUCCGACGGUGAGGGACGAAAGCCAGGGGAGCGAACGGG